RNAcentral lists this ribosomal RNA (253 nucleotides) under uncultured bacterium. RNAcentral describes it as "partial 16S ribosomal RNA". It matches the Rfam family "Bacterial small subunit ribosomal RNA", at positions 524 to 776 of the family's 1533-position model. The record is from RNAcentral.
UACGAAGGGGGCUAGCGUUGCUCGGAUUGACUGGGCGUAAAGGGCGCGUAGGCGGAUAGUACAGUCAGGCGUGAAAUUCCUGGGCUCAACCUGAGGGCUGCGUUUGAUACGUGUUGUCUGGAGUUCGGAAGAGGGUCGUGGAAUUCCCAGUGUAGAGGUGAAAUUCGUAGAUAUUGGGAAGAACACCGGUGGCGAAGGCGGCGACCUGGUCCGAUACUGACGCUGAGGCGCGAAAGCGUGGGGAGCAAACAGG